Molecule: ribosomal RNA, 467 nt
Filed under: uncultured bacterium
Lineage: Bacteria
Description: bacterial SSU rRNA
Rfam family: Bacterial small subunit ribosomal RNA
Source: RNAcentral
UACCAGACUCCUACGGGAGGCAGCAGUGAGGAAUAUUGGUCAAUGGGCGAGAGCCUGAACCAGCCAAGUCGCGUGAAGGAUGACGGCCCUACGGGUUGUAAACUUCUUUUGUCAGGGAGCAAUUGGGUCCACGCGUGGGCUUAGCGAGAGUACCUGAAGAAAAAGCAUCGGCUAACUCCGUGCCAGCAGCCGCGGUAAUACGGAGGAUGCGAGCGUUAUCCGGAUUUAUUGGGUUUAAAGGGUGCGUAGGCGGAAUAUCAAGUCAGCGGAAAAAAUUCGGGGCCCAACCCCGGCGAGCCGUUGAAACUGGCAGACUUGAGUUGGCGAGAAGUAUGCGGAAUGCGUGGUGUAGCGGUGAAAUGCAUAGAUAUCACGAAGAACCCCGAUUGCGAAGGCAGCCUGCCGCAGCGUUACUGACGCUGAAGCUCGAAAGCGCGGGUAUCGAACAGGAUUAGAUACCCCAGUAC